Molecule: ribosomal RNA, 253 nt
Filed under: uncultured bacterium
Lineage: Bacteria
Also listed under: 1 other name
Description: partial 16S ribosomal RNA
Rfam family: Bacterial small subunit ribosomal RNA
Source: RNAcentral
GACGUAGGGGACGAGCGUUGUCCGGAUUCAUUGGGCGUAAAGCGCGCGUAGGCGGCCACGCAAGUCGGGUGUGAAAUCCCGGAGCUCAACUCCGGAACUGCACUCGAAACUGCGCGGCUUGAGGUAGGUAGGGGAGAUCGGAAUUCCUGGUGUAGCGGUGGAAUGCGCAGAUAUCAGGAGGAACACCGGUGGCGAAGGCGGAUCUCUGGGCCUUACCUGACGCUGAGACGCGAAAGCUAGGGGAGCGAACAGG